CCGUAUAUAGCGCAGGCAGGUAGCGCAUCUGCUUUGGGAGCAGAGGGUCGUAGGUUCGAAUCCUACUGUACGGACCA
This 77-nucleotide transfer RNA is filed under the name Xanthomonas citri pv. citri. RNAcentral's name for it is "tRNA-Pro". It matches the Rfam family "tRNA". Rfam says of the family: Transfer RNA (tRNA) molecules are approximately 80 nucleotides in length. Lineage: Bacteria; Pseudomonadati; Pseudomonadota; Gammaproteobacteria; Lysobacterales; Lysobacteraceae. The record is from RNAcentral. RNAcentral also lists the same sequence under 11 other names.